Molecule: non-coding RNA, 584 nt
Organism: Rattus norvegicus (Norway rat)
Lineage: Eukaryota; Metazoa; Chordata; Mammalia; Rodentia; Muridae
Source: RefSeq, a predicted model, not a curated record
GAUGGGAGGGUAGCGUUAUUGUCCUCUGCAACGCUCCACCAAGCAGCCGACUGACACAGAAGCAGAGGCACAGGGCUUGAUAUCAGAUGGAGCUCAGUGAGUCUCACUGAAAAGCUGAGGGAAGGACUGAGAGAGGCAGAGUUGCACAAUGGUCUUCACGUGGGUUCACUAAACCCGUCACCUGGCUGUGGAUCCUGUUCUCCUACCCGGGCUGCGUUUUCAAGAGCUGGUUGAUGGAUCUUUCUCUUUUCCUAAGAAAAGGCCACUCUGGUUCUCAACUCACUCUUGAAGCCGUGACAGGAGACAUUCACAUCUCAUUCCUUAAGGACUAUACAAAAGGUUUGCUCAAAGGUAAAAUCCAUAUUUUGGGAUAUACUUAUUAUUGAAAAAUUACAUAGAUAAACCCAAUCCAUAUUUUAUCUUCUGUCCCUGUACCUAUAAUAAAUCUUUAUUAACUUUGAUAAAAAUAAAAAAAAGUGUUUCUACUCCAUUACUGACAACUGACAGAAAGAGAGGAAGACUGAGUAUUACAUACUAAUUUACACCGAUACACACAUAUUCUCAAUAAAAUCCGUGCGAACAGA